CUUAGAAGCAGCCAUCAUUUAAAGAGUGCGUAAUAGCUCACUAGUCGAGUGACACUGCGCCGAAAAUGUACCGGGGCUAAACAUAUUACCGAAGCUGUGGAUUGUCCUUUGGACAAUGGUAGGAGAGCGUUCUAAGGGCGUUGAAGCAUGAUCGUAAGGACAUGUGGAGCGCUUAGAAGUGAGAAUGCCGGUGUGAGUAGCGAAAGACGGGUGAGAAUCCCGUCCACCGAUUGACUAAGGUUUCCAGAGGAAGGCUCGUCCGCUCUGGGUUAGUCGGGUCCUAAGCUGAGGCCGACAGGCGUAGGCGAUGGAUAACAGGUUGAUAUUCCUGUACCACCUAUAAUCGUUUUAAUCGAUGGGGGGACGCAGUAGGAUAGGCGAAGCGUGCGAUUGGAUUGCACGUCUAAGCAGUAAGGCUGAGUAUUAGGCAAAUCCGGUACUCAUUAAGGCUGAGCUGUGAUGGGGAGAAGACAUUGUGUCUUCGAGUCGUUGAUUUCACACUGCCGAGAAAAGCCUCUAGAUAGAAAAUAGGUGCCCGUACCGCAAACCGACACAGGUAGUCAAGAUGAGAAUUCUAAGGUGAGCGAGCGAACUCUCGUUAAGGAACUCGGCAAAAUGACCCCGUAACUUCGGGAGAAGGGGUGCUCUUUAGGGUUAACGCCCAGAAGAGCCGCAGUGAAUAGGCCCAAGCGACUGUUUAUCAAAAACACAGGUCUCUGCUAAACCGUAAGGUGAUGUAUAGGGGCUGACGCCUGCCCGGUGCUGGAAGGUUAAGAGGAGUGGUUAGCUUCUGCGAAGCUACGAAUCGAAGCCCCAGUAAACGGCGGCCGUAACUAUAACGGUCCUAAGGUAGCGAAAUUCCUUGUCGGGUAAGUUCCGACCCGCACGAAAGGCGUAACGAUUUGGGCACUGUCUCAACGAGAGACUCGGUGAAAUCAUAGUACCUGUGAAGAUGCAGGUUACCCGCGACAGGACGGAAAGACCCCGUGGAGCUUUACUGUAGCCUGAUAUUGAAAUUCGGCACAG
Molecule: ribosomal RNA, 1026 nt
Filed under: Staphylococcus aureus
Lineage: Bacteria; Bacillati; Bacillota; Bacilli; Caryophanales; Staphylococcaceae
Description: partial 23S ribosomal RNA
Rfam family: Bacterial large subunit ribosomal RNA
Source: RNAcentral